AUGAACGCCAAGUGAGUAAUACCAUACUUCCAGGAAAAGCCACUAAGCUUCAGUUGAAUAAAGACCGUACCGUAAACCAACACAGGUGGGUAGGAUGAGAAUUCUAAGGCGCUUGAGAGAACUCAGGAGAAGGAACUCGGCAAAAUAGCACCGUAACUUCGGGAAAAGGUGUGCCCUUUGUAUGUGUAGCGCUUCGCGCGUGAAGCAGAAUAGGGUUGCAAUGAAAUGGUGGCUGCGACUGUUUAAUAAAAACAUAGCACUCUGCAAACACGAAAGUGGACGUAUAGAGUGUGACGCCUGCCCGGUGCCGGAAGGUUAAAUGAUGGGGUGCAAGCUCUUGAUUGAAGCCCCGGUAAACGGCGGCCGUAGCUAUAACGGUCCUAAGGUAGCGAAAUUCCUUGUCGGGUAAGUUCCGACCUGCACGAAUGGCGUAACGAUGGCCACACUGUCUCCUCCUGGGACUCAGCGAAGUUGAAAUGUUUGUGAAGAUGCAAUCUCCCCGCGGCUAGACGGAAAGACCCCGUGCACCUUUACUGUAGCUUUACAUUGGACUUUGAUAACAUUUGUGUAGGAUAGGUGGGAGGCUUUGAAGUGGAUUCGCAAGAAUUCAUGGAGCCAACGUUGAAAUACCACCCUGAUGUUGUUGAGGUUCUAACCUAGAUCCAUUAUCUGGAUUGGGGACCGUGUAUGGUAGGCAGUUUGACUGGGGCGGUCUCCUCCCAAAUUGUAACGGAGGAGUACGAAGGUACGCUAAGUACGGUCGGAAAUCGUGCUGAUAGUGCAAUGGCAAAAGCGUGCUUAACUGCGAGACUGACAAGUCGAGCAGAUGCGAAAGCAGGUCAUAGUGAUCCGGUGGUUCUGUAUGGAAGGGCCAUCGCUCAACGGAUAAAAGGUACGCCGGGGAUAACAGGCUGAUUCCUCCCAAGAGUUCAUAUCGACGGGGGAGUUUGGCACCUCGAUGUCGGCUCAUCACAUCCUGGGGCUGUAGCCGGUCCCAAGGGUAUGGCUGUUCGCCAUUUAAAGUGGUACGUGAGCUGGGUUUAAAACGUCGUGAGACAGUUUGGUCCCUAUCUGCCGUGGGCGUUGGAAGUUUGAGUGGACCUGCUCCUAGUACGAGAGGACCGGAGUGGACGCACCUCUGGUGUACCGGUUAUGACGCCAGUCGUAUCGCCGGGUAGCUAUGUGCGGAAGAGAUAACCGCUGAAAGCAUCUAAGCGGGAAACUCUCCUCAAGAUAAGACUUCCCGAGGGUUUAACCCUCCUAAAGGUUCGUCGAAGACUACGACGUUGAUAGGUCGGGUGUGGAAGCAUAGUGAUAUGUUAAGCUAACCGAUACUAAUUGACCGUGAGGCUUGAUCC
Molecule: ribosomal RNA, 1358 nt
Filed under: metagenome
Description: bacterial LSU rRNA
Rfam family: Bacterial large subunit ribosomal RNA
Source: RNAcentral